This 253-nucleotide ribosomal RNA is filed under the name uncultured bacterium. Its description in RNAcentral is "partial 16S ribosomal RNA". It matches the Rfam family "Bacterial small subunit ribosomal RNA", at positions 524 to 776 of the family's 1533-position model. The record is from RNAcentral.
UACGGAGGGGGCAAGCGUUGUUCGGAAUUACUUGGCGUAAAGGGCUCGUAGGCGGCCAACUAAGUCAGACGUGAAAUCCCUCGGCUUAACCGGGGAACUGCAUCUGAUACUGGAUGGCUUGAGAUUGGGAGAGGGAUGCGGAAUUCCAGGUGUAGCGGUGAAAUGCGUAGAUAUCUGGAGGAACACCGGUGGCGAAGGCGGCAGCCUGGACCAACACUGACGCUGAGGAGCGAAAGCCAGGGGAGCAAACGGG